Long non-coding RNA from Strongylocentrotus purpuratus (purple sea urchin), 194 nucleotides. RefSeq lists it as uncharacterized. The record is from RefSeq and is a predicted model, not a curated record. NCBI's taxonomy places the organism in Eukaryota, Metazoa, Echinodermata, Echinoidea, Camarodonta, Strongylocentrotidae. The transcript has 3 exons.
GGAAGAAGAGCGCAAUUGGAAAAAAUAGGUCCAAGGAAGCGACCCAGGACACCUAGCUUUGGGGAUAACACGUCAUGCAGCACGGGGCUAGAGGAAAAGGAUUCCUUUCCGGUACAUGAUGAAGCGGAGGGCCACUCUACAUCAUGGAAAAGAGAAAUACGAACCUUAUCAACUCUUAGGCACACAGUCCCAAA